Molecule: ribosomal RNA, 151 nt
Filed under: Penicillium griseoroseum
Lineage: Eukaryota; Fungi; Ascomycota; Eurotiomycetes; Eurotiales; Aspergillaceae
Description: partial 28S ribosomal RNA
Source: RNAcentral
UUGACCUCGGAUCAGGUAGGGAUACCCGCUGAACUUAAGCAUAUCAAUAAGCGGAGGAAAGAGGCCCUCUGGGUCCACCCCCCCCUUUUUUUUCCCUUUGUUCGGGGGCCUUAGGCGGGGGGGUUACCCCCGGGGCCCCCCAAAAAAUUGG